RNAcentral lists this ribosomal RNA (498 nucleotides) under uncultured bacterium. RNAcentral describes it as "bacterial SSU rRNA". It matches the Rfam family "Bacterial small subunit ribosomal RNA", at positions 29 to 517 of the family's 1533-position model. The record is from RNAcentral.
AGUGAACGCUGGCGGCAGGCCUAAUACAUGCAAGUCGAACGGCAGCACGGCAGAGCUUGCUCUGUGGGUGGCGAGUGGCGGACGGGUGAGGAAUACAUGGGAAUCUGCCCAGUCGUGGGGGAUAACGUAGGGAAACUUACGCUAAUACCGCAUGCGCCCUUCGGGGGAAAGCCGGGGACCUUCGGGCCUGGCGCGAUUGGAUGAGCCCAUGUCGGAUUAGCUAGUUGGCGGGGUAAUGGCCCACCAAGGCGACGAUCCGUAGCUGGUCUGAGAGGAUGAUCAGCCACACUGGAACUGAGACACGGUCCAGACUCCUACGGGAGGCAGCAGUAGGGAAUAUUGGACAAUGGGCGCAAGCCUGAUCCAGCCAUGCCGCGUGAGUGAAGAAGGCCCUCGGGUUGUAAAGCUCUUUUGUCCGGAAAGAAAGCGCCGGGUUAAUACCCUGGUGUCCUGACGGUACCGGAAGAUAAGCACCGGCUAACUUCGUGCCAGCAGCCG